This 4018-nucleotide long non-coding RNA is filed under the name Carica papaya (papaya). RNAcentral's name for it is "long non-coding RNA (CPAP_LNC012753)". Lineage: Eukaryota; Viridiplantae; Streptophyta; Magnoliopsida; Brassicales; Caricaceae. The record is from RNAcentral.
UCCUCAUAUAUAACUUUAUAUCCGAUCUAGUAAAACUAACUUCAACCAAGUAAAUAGGUUAAUCUCCCUCAAUGCAUCUUCACAUUGAUGUAAUAAUUAAUGUAAAAAUUAAGAAGGAUUAAUUCGUUAUUAACUCACAGAUUGAUCGAUGGAUCCAGGUUUUUCCAUUCCAGCGGCAACGUAGAUUGCCAUGGAAAUCUGGUUAGUGAAGUUGCAAAGAGCAUAUAUCAAGGACGAACCUGAUACGCUGUGUGCUACCACUAUCACCUGCAAAACAAUAAAUGAAUAUAUAUAUGUAUAUGUAUGUACUGAGUGUUUAUAGUGUAUAUGUAUAUAUAUACGUAGGUGAACUUUUCGCCGGGCAGCAAAGUAGAGAAGAGAUCGAAGAGAGGGCGGUUGUGUUGUUGGAAAGUGAGAACAGUGUUGGGAUCGGUAAAAUCGAUUCCGGCACCGGCGAGAUCCAGGCAGGUGACGUUGUAGCCGGCGGUCUCCAGAAGAGAUAUGAUCUUUUACCAGCACCAGGCGCCAUGGCAUGCACCAUGGACGAACACAAGAUGCACCUUGGAUUUUCCUUUUCCUCACUCAUAAUCACUCAAUAUUUUCUGCCUGUGACAUAAAUCUAAAGCAAAGACCGGUUUAUGAAGAUUAUACCUUUGAUGGCAACUGAUGAGCUAAAAAAUGUGAAAUAGCUAGAUACAAUAAUUAAAUGCAGCAACUGUUUCACUUGCAAUUAGUCAAAACUCAUCAAGAACACUUGAAAAAUCAAAUAUGUUCCUCAAUUACAUACAUAUUUUCUAUAUUUAUUUUUUAAAACUUAUACUUAUUUCGUUUACAAAUAGUUGAAAAUGAAGAGAAUAAUGAUUUAAAAAAAAAUUAAAUGCAAUUUUUAGAUUUUUAAAAAAAUUAUUUUAUUUUUGUCUCAAUUAAUUCAAAACAUAUAAACACAUCUCUUAUGAAUGCACAUAUAAUUUAAAAAAUACAAAUUAAAAAAUAUUUUCAUGUACUGAAUAAAUCCUUAACUCUCUCCUCGCUCAUUUCAAGUGUUAUUAUUUUCCAUCUCAAUAUUGAGGAUUUGUUUAUACUCAAACUGUAUUUAACUUUAUUAGUAUUUGGCCCAAAGUCUCAUUUACUUCUUUUCGUCAUUCUUUGCCACUCAUGAUCCAUGUUAGUAAGCUUUUCGUAACAAGGACUUUAUGAAAGCAUAGAGAAGGAUGGUAGAUAAAGGUAGCUAUCCGGUGGGAGUAGAGGAGUAGAGGUAUAUUUUUUGAAUAAUUUUUUUUUAACAAUAUUAAUCAUAACAGUAAAAUCAUGCAGAUGUAGUAAUACUAACAAAGUGUACAAAAUAUAAAUGCGUUAAAAUAUUAUAUAAGAUAGGACAGUGAAGUACAUGAUAAACAAAGAGUGAAAAUUAAAAAAUAAAAAAUAAUUAUAAUUAUAAUUUUAAGACAAUAAGUGUAGAGACAAAAUAAAUAACAGAGAGUGCAAAAGUAAGACUUAAAAGUUAAACUAAGCUGUCAUAGAGAUUAAAAGAAGAGAUGAGGAAGUGUUAGAUGUCAAAAGGUGGAAAGACAAUUCAUUGGUGAUUAUCCUUUUUUAUUUACAAGUUAUGGAGAGAGUUAUCGUCAAGCAAUAGAGGAUAUCAUAAGGUGUUACUAUGUUGAAUUACUUUUUUUUUUUUUGAGCUAAUGAUGCAUAUAUUAAUCAAAUAUGUGAUAUAUAAAAUCAGUAAUAACACCAUACAUAUAAUCUUCAAAUUAUGCAUAAAAAAAUAUAAUCUAAUUCAAAAAUACAAUUUCUUAUAAAGAAAAUGAUAAAUAAAUUAUUAAGUUAAAUAGUAAUUAAUUUACUGAGUUAGAGUUAAAUGUAGAAUUUAAAUGAGAUUUUAAAUCAAACAUUAAAUUUAGAUAAAAACGAAAGAUGUUUAUUUUUUUUAAUCUUUGGUAAAACUUAUAUAUAUUUUAAUUUCUAAUAACAAAAUAGACGAAAAAUUGUUUGAAAAAGUACUAUGCUGUUAGAAAACAAAAGUCAAAUAAAACAAUGAAAAAUUAUUUUUUUUUAAUUUAAUAUUAAAUUUAGAUGUAUUUUAGAUUCUCUAUUUCUUAUGCUUUGCGAAUAAUAUAUCAUGAUAAAUGUACGCACCACAUCAUACUCAUCAUCAUAUAGGCAAUAUUAAGUAGUAACAAAGAAAAGAAUAACCAUAAUAUAAAUAAAUAAAUGAGUAAGCAUGUUAAUCACAAUUAACUAAGUUAUAUUACGGGAUGAGUUAACACCCGCUUAAUUUAUUAAUCUUCUCGAACUUAGAAUCUCUAAAACGUGAUUAAUAUUUUUCACUUUUGAGUAAGUUGAGCCUUGCAUCACCCAAUUGUGACAAACAUCAUCUCUUAUAAUUCUCCUUUGUGAGGCGAGAGAAUUGGAAGAAGGAAACUGUAUUGUUAAAUUUUCACUCUUCUCUCAACAUAAUAAAUAUAUAUAACGAUUGUUGGAGGAGGCAUUUAUAUAAUAAUUAUUAUUACUAAGUUGAGUUUAUAGAAGCUGUAGCUUGGACGAGGAAAGUAGAGACAUGCACUGUAACUAUUAUGUUAUUAUGGUAAUAAAUGAUUAACUAGAUAUAACCUCAUAAUUAAAUAUAGUCAUAUGUUCAUCGUUGUUACCAAAGAAAAUAAAAUAAAAAAAAGAAAACAACAUACAAUUGUCAUACAAUUUUUCUUACAUAUGAACUUGUACAAUGGAAUAUGCGCAAUAUAAUAAUAAUAUAAUUUCUUAUAACAUACAUAAUAUAGUCAUUCAGUCAAGAUAUAGUCUUUAUAUAAUUUUAAUUAAGCUGAUUUGAGAGAAGCAAUAACCUGUAGCAGAAAAUUAAAUAGAGCUUCGGGUGCAGAGAAAAAAGGAGAGUGAUCGCUGUCCAAAGUGAAGACCAGAGAAGGAGGCCACUUUCUUAUCAUCUCAUCUUGCUUGCUCGGAUCAAUGAUUCGGUCCUGCAAUGUCUUUAUGAACACACGAGGCACAAGCUCUGCCUCUUUCGAUUCACCCAAAUCUCUUAAAGAUGCUCUUGCUGGUGUUGGUCGUAGCAGCAUGGAGGCUAAUGUUGAGUCCUAUAAAUUAAUUUAUUCACUAAAUUAAUUACCUACUAAUAAUACAAACAACUUAAUUAAUUAACUAAUCAUUAGUUAUAUAUUUAAUUUUGUGAAAUGUAUGAAUGGCAGUGCAAUUGCAUGCUCACCUCUAAAGGGCUCAAGUUGUAGUAAUAUACCCUUUGAUAUUCUUUUUUCAUGAUGAUACUGGUUGGGGGUUGGUCUUCACCUAAUGCAUAUGUGCAGUCGAACACCUCCGUUAGUGGCGGCAACCUUCUAUACCAUAAAUUAACCUAUAUAUAUGUAUAUAUAUAUAUAAUAACAACCACACAAUAUAAGUAAACUCAUAUUUAUAUAUAGAUUCUUUUAAAAGAAAAUUAUAGUAAUAAUUACCUGCUUAACUUUUGUUCAUUAAAUCAUAAAACAUAUUUUUCUUUUCAAAAUCCGAAAUGCAAUAAUAGCAUUUAAUUAUCAUUAAAUUAUAAGUACAUUAAUAAGAGCAUCAAGUAUCCAUUGAGAAAUCCGAAAUGCAAGAACGAUAAGGAGAUAAGGUUUUAUUUUGACGGCUUUCGUUUUUCAGCCUUUAACAUGCUAUCUAUAUGAUAUAUCUGUCUAUAAGAUAAGGUAGAUCCCCCAACCCAGUCCCUCCACACACACACACACACACAUAAAUAUAUAUAUAUAUAUUUGAACUAGUAAUGAUUAAUUUCACUGCUCCUCAUAUAUAACUUAUAUCCCGAUCUAGUAAAAUUAACUUCAACUAAGUAAAUAGGUUAAUCUCCCUCACUGCAUCUUCACAUGAUGUAAUAAUUAAUGUAAAGAUUAAGAAGGAUUAAUUCAUUAUUAACUUACAGAGUGAUCGAUGGAUCCAGGUUUUUCCAUUCCAGCGGCAACGUAGAUUGCCAUGGAAAUCUGGUUAGUGAAGUUGCAAAGAGCAUAUGUCAAGG